CUGCAUUCACUUUGGGACCUGUCAGCUGUGGUGUGUUCUCUUCCUUGCCAUGGAAGAGCUUUUUACUAUUGGAAAAGCUGUUAACCUUUACGUUAUAACAGAUUAGGACUUGCACAAGUAGCAUUC
Molecule: small nucleolar RNA, 126 nt
Organism: Microtus ochrogaster (prairie vole)
Lineage: Eukaryota; Metazoa; Chordata; Mammalia; Rodentia; Cricetidae
Product: predicted gene, 26458
Source: Ensembl